This 78-nucleotide non-coding RNA is filed under the name Georgfuchsia toluolica. RNAcentral describes it as "Alpha-proteobacteria SAM riboswitch aptamer". It matches the Rfam family "Alpha-proteobacteria SAM riboswitch aptamer". From Rfam's summary of the family: This family is a riboswitch found predominantly in alpha-proteobacteria that binds S-adenosyl methionine (SAM). This SAM riboswitch is located upstream of the metA and metC genes in Agrobacterium tumefaciens, and other methionine and SAM biosynthesis genes in other alpha-proteobacteria. Lineage: Bacteria; Pseudomonadati; Pseudomonadota; Betaproteobacteria; Nitrosomonadales; Sterolibacteriaceae. The record is from Rfam by way of RNAcentral.
UCGCUCCAUCGCGCCGAUUUGAGACUCAGCUUGCGGGCGCGCAAUAAAUGCGGCUAAAGCGGGCGAGUUGAAUUUCCA